CGGCGUGCUUAACACAUGCAAGUCGAACGGAAAGGCCCUGCUUUUGUGGGGUGCUCGAGUGGCGAACGGGUGAGUAACACGUGAGUAACCUGCCCUUGACUUUGGGAUAACUUCAGGAAACUGGGGCUAAUACCGGAUAGGAGCUCCUGCUGCAUGGUGGGGGUUGGAAAGUUUCGGCGGUUGGGGAUGGACUCGCGGCUUAUCAGCUUGUUGGUGGGGUAGUGGCUUACCAAGGCUUUGACGGGUAGCCGGCCUGAGAGGGUGACCGGCCACAUUGGGACUGAGAUACGGCCCAGACUCCUACGGGAGGCAGCAGUGGGGAAUAUUGCACAAUGGGCGGAAGCCUGAUGCAGCAACGCCGCGUGCGGGAUGACGGCCUUCGGGUUGUAAACCGCUUUCGCCUGUGACGAAGCGUGAGUGACGGUAAUGGGUAAAGAAGCACCGGCUAACUACGUGCCAGCAGCCGCGGUGAUACGUAGGGUGCGAGCGUUGUCCGGAUUUAUUGGGCGUAAAGGGCUCGUAGGUGGUUGAUCGCGUCGGAAGUGUAAUCUUGGGGCUUAACCCUGAGCGUGCUUUCGAUACGGGUUGACUUGAGGAAGGUAGGGGAGAAUGGAAUUCCUGGUGGAGCGGUGGAAUGCGCAGAUAUCAGGAGGAACACCAGUGGCGAAGGCGGUUCUCUGGGCCUUUCCUGACGCUGAGGAGCGAAAGCGUGGGGAGCGAACAGGCUUAGAUACCCUGGUAGUCCACGCUGUAAACGGUGGGUACUAGGUGUGGGGUCCAUUCCACGGGUUCCGUGCCGUAGCUAACGCUUUAAGUACCCCGCCUGGGGAGUACGGCCGCAAGGCUAAAACUCAAAGGAAUUGACGGGGCCCCGCACAAGCGGCGGAGCAUGCGGAUUAAUUCGAUGCAACGCGUAGAACCUUACCUGGGUUUGACAUGGAUCGGGAGUGCUCAGAGAUGGGUGUGCCUCUUUUGGGGUCGGUUCACAGGUGGUGCAUGGCUGUCGUCAGCUCGUGUCGUGAGAUGUUGGGUUAAGUCCCGCAACGAGCGCAACCCUUGUUCACUGUUGCCAGCACGUUAUGGUGGGGACUCAGUGGAGACCGCCGGGGUCAACUCGGAGGAAGGUGGGGAUGACGUCAAGUCAUCAUGCCCCUUAUGUCCAGGGCUUCACGCAUGCUACAAUGGCUGGUACAGAGAGUGGCGAGCCUGUGAGGGUGAGCGAAUCUCGGAAAGCCGGUCUCAGUUCGGAUUGGGGUCUGCAACUCGACCUCAUGAAGUCGGAGUCGCUAGUAAUCGCAGAUCAGCAACGCUGCGGUGAAUACGUUCCCGGGGCUUGUACACACCGCCCGUCAAGUCAUGAAAGUUGGUAACACCCGAAGCCGGUGGCCUAACCGUUGUGGGGGAGCCGUCGAAGGUGGGACUGGUGAUUAGGACUAAGUCGUA
This 1443-nucleotide ribosomal RNA is filed under the name uncultured organism. RNAcentral describes it as "16S ribosomal RNA". It matches the Rfam family "Bacterial small subunit ribosomal RNA". The record is from RNAcentral.